UGAAUAACGAAUAAGUCGUAUAAAAUUCUAGAUAUAAAACAGAUAAUGACAACUUUAUAUCUAUUAGUCUUGACCAAAUUACGUGCCAGCAGUCGCGGCAACACGCAGAAGACAAGUGUUAUUCAUCUUAAACAGGUAUAAAGGGUACCUAGACGGGAAAUCAAGCCUAAAGCAGGGACUAAUAUUCUAGAGUUUUAUGGGUGAAAGUCGAAUGUCUGGAGUAGAGAUUAAAUAUUGUAAUACUAGAUGGACGGACAACGGCGUAGGCAACUUUCUAUGUAAAAACUGACGUUGAGGGACGAAGCCCUAGGUAGCAAUAAGGAUUAGAGACCCCGGUAGUCUAGGGAGAAAAUGAUGAGUGCCAUAGGCUAGAAAAGUUAGCCUAUAAAUGAAAGUGCAAGCAUUCCACCUCAAGAGUAAGGCGGCAACGCGCAAAUUGAAAUCAUUAGACCGUUCCUGAGACCAGUAAUGAAGUAUGUUGUUUAAUUCGAUGAUCCGCGAAUAACCUUACCACGUUUUGAAUACUUUUUGUAAAAGCAGGAGUGCUUUUAUAGAGACAAACUGUACAAGCGCUGCACGGCUGCCUUUAGUUAAUGUCGUGAGACUUUGGUUAACUCCUUUAAUUAACGAAAGCCCUUGUUUUAUUUGUAUAUAAAACAGUUCUCCGCUAUAUUGGAUAAGAUAACUGGGAUUAAGGCAAGUCAUCAUGGCCUGAAUAGCGUGGGCUAUAAACGUGCCACAUGUCCCUUUACAAAAGGAUGCGAUAUUGUGAAAUGGAGCUAAUCCCCAAAAAAGG
Molecule: ribosomal RNA, 796 nt
Filed under: Verrucaria alpicola
Lineage: Eukaryota; Fungi; Ascomycota; Eurotiomycetes; Verrucariales; Verrucariaceae
Description: SSU rRNA
Rfam family: Bacterial small subunit ribosomal RNA
Source: RNAcentral